ACGGGUGCGUAACACGUGAGUAAUCUGCCGAGAAGUGGGGGAUAGCUCGCCGAAAGGCGAAUUAAUACCGCAUGUGACUAGUGGGGACAUCUCCGCGAAGUUAAAGCCGCAAGGCGCUUCUUGAUGAGCUCGCGGCCUAUCAGCUAGUUGGUGAGGUAAUGGCUCACCAAGGCGAUGACGGGUAGCUGGUCUGAGAGGACGACCAGCCACACUGGAACUGAGACACGGUCCAGACACCUACGGGUGGCAGCAGUCGAGAAUUUUUCACAAUGGGGGAAACCCUGAUGGAGCGACGCCGCGUGGAGGAUGAAGGCCCUUGGGUCGUAAACUCCUGUCAUAAGAGAACAAGAAAGUGAUAGUAUCUUAAGAGGAAGAGACGGCUAACUCUGUGCCAGCAGCCGCGGUAAUACAGAGGUCUCAAGCGUUGUUCGGAUUCAUUGGGCGUAAAGGGUGCGCAGGCUGUGUGGUAAGUCGGGUGUGAAAUUUAGAGGCUCAACCUCUAAACUGCAUCUGAUACUGCCAUGCUAGAGGACUGUAGAGGAGAUUGGAAUUCACGGU
This 558-nucleotide ribosomal RNA is filed under the name uncultured bacterium. Its description in RNAcentral is "bacterial SSU rRNA". It matches the Rfam family "Bacterial small subunit ribosomal RNA", at positions 102 to 674 of the family's 1533-position model. The record is from RNAcentral.